This 439-nucleotide ribosomal RNA is filed under the name uncultured bacterium. Its description in RNAcentral is "partial 16S ribosomal RNA". It matches the Rfam family "Bacterial small subunit ribosomal RNA", at positions 338 to 795 of the family's 1533-position model. The record is from RNAcentral.
CCUACGGGAGGCAGCAGUGGGGAAUAUUGCGCAAUGGGCGAAAGCCUGAUGCAGCGACGCCGCGUGAGUGAAGAAGUAAUUCGUUAUGUAAAGCUCUAUCAGCAGGGAAGAAAAUGACGGUACCCGAGUAAGAAGCCCGGCUAACUACGAGCCAGCAGCCGCGGUAAUACGUAGGGGGCAAGCGUUAUCCGGAUUUACUGGGGGUAAAGGGGGCGUAGACGGCAGUGCAAGUCUGGAGUGAAAGGCGGGGGCUCAACCCCCGGACUGCUCUGGAAACUGUACGGCUGGAGUGCAGGAGAGGUAAGUGGAAUUCCUAGUGUAGCGGUGAAAUGCGUAGAUAUUAGGAGGAACACCAGUGGCGAAGGCGGCUUACUGGACUGUAACUGACGUUGAGGCUCGAAAGCGUGGGGAGCAAACAGGAUUAGAUACCCGGGUAGUC